RNAcentral lists this long non-coding RNA (236 nucleotides) under Lathyrus oleraceus (garden pea). RNAcentral describes it as "Pisum sativum (pea) long non-coding RNA (PSAT_LNC023549)". Lineage: Eukaryota; Viridiplantae; Streptophyta; Magnoliopsida; Fabales; Fabaceae. The record is from RNAcentral.
AAAAUACAUGUUAUGGGGAUGUUUGUUUCAUAAAUAUAAAUGUUGUUUCAAGUUUUAUUAAAUUAUUCUCGAGUAUUUUUUAUUCCUUCAAAUAUGAUUUAUUUAUGAACUUAUUAAUUUUCAUUCGCAUGUCAAAGGAUGGGAAUCUUGCAUUCCCAUGAGAAUAUAAAAUAAUCAACGAUAAUUUCCUAUAAUCAUGUGAUUUUAACACAAUUAUUUUUUAAUUUUUAAUUUUU